GACGAACGCUGGCGGCGUGCCUAAUACAUGCAAGUUGAGCGCUGAAGGUUGGUACUUGUACCAACUGGAUGAGCAGCGAACGGGUGAGUAACGCGUGGGGAAUCUGCCUUUGAGCGGGGGACAACAUUUGGAAACGAAUGCUAAUACCGCAUAAAAACUUUAAACACAAGUUUUAAGUUUGAAAGAUGCAAUUGCAUCGCUCAAAGAUGAUCCCGCGUUGUAUUAGCUAGUUGGUGAGGUAAAGGCUCACCAAGGCGAUGAUACAUAGCCGACCUGAGAGGGUGAUCGGCCACAUUGGGACUGAGACACGGCCCAAACUCCUACGGGAGGCAGCAGUAGGGAAUCUUCGGCAAUGGACGAAAGUCUGACCGAGCAACGCCGCGUGAGUGAAGGAGGUUUUCGGAUCGUAAAACUCUGUUGGUAGAGAAGAACGUUGGUGAGAGUGGAAAGCUCAUCAAGUGACGGUAACUACCCAGAAAGGGACGGCUAACUACGUG
This 497-nucleotide ribosomal RNA is filed under the name uncultured bacterium. RNAcentral's name for it is "partial 16S ribosomal RNA". It matches the Rfam family "Bacterial small subunit ribosomal RNA", at positions 28 to 507 of the family's 1533-position model. The record is from RNAcentral.